Molecule: long non-coding RNA, 704 nt
Filed under: Gigantopelta aegis
Lineage: Eukaryota; Metazoa; Mollusca; Gastropoda; Neomphalida; Peltospiridae
Description: uncharacterized LOC121372706, transcript variant X2
Source: RNAcentral
CUGACAUUUUUGUUGCUGUAUGUGUUUUUGCGCUUCUUUUUUUUUAAGUUAGUUUUUAGUUUGUUUGAGAGAUAUCUCUGUGCUCAUAGUCUUCCAAAGCUUGCCUAGAGUUAGUGUAGACACAAGAAAAAAAGGACUGUGGAUGCUGUGAUUCAUGUGAUGACGAUGGAUAUUGCCUCCUCACAAGAUUUCGUGAACUCAGUAAUGGCGGAAGAAAGCACGAGAAAGGUGACCCAGAGCGUAGUGAAAGAAAAUCAUCCGUCUGAGAGCCGAAAACGACAUUUCACAGUUGCCGAUGAUGUUACGGACAAUCUCAACAAGAAAAAGAAAGAUUGUUUACAAAAUAUCAAAAGAAUAAUUGACAGAUUAGAAGCAUCCGAUAAAGAACAGAAUGAUGUUGAUGGUGCUUUUAAUACUUUUGCCAAGUAUGUCUUGGAGGAUAUGCAUUCAUCGCUACCAACUAGAACUUUUAAAUAUGAUUCGAUGAGACAUAAGAAAGGUUGACGAAAAAAGGAAUGGUGGAACGAGCAUUUAGAUAACCUAUGGAAAGAUAUAUUGAAUCGGUUCACCAAAACGAAUGCCUGUGAAUGUCAGACCGACAAUAUCUCUGGUUCAACUACAUAAAAAAUGAGUCAGCUUGUACAUCGUACCACCUUUUUUGUAACAGAUACUUCGGUACAAAAUAAGAGGUAGAUCUUUCCACA